GGGGAGAAACGUCAGCAGCGAGGCGCUGCUCUCCGAGCCCCUGAACCCCCGCCAGGCUCCUCCUGUGCGGGCUGCCACGUGACAAGGCUGUGCUGGCCACAUAGCCCCAUAGGACGGCGGUCACCGGAAAUCACUUUUUGUGAAGUGCUGUACCGCUAUCUCUGAAGGCCUGUGUGCCGGGAACAUUCGCCCAGGUUGGAGGAUGCUGAGUCCAGAUGGGGAGGAAUGGCCACCCUCACAGAGCUCUCAGCUGCCUUUUGCAUUUGCCACUGAGCUCCGGAAUGAGGGAUGACCUCGGGCUGCGGCUACUACUGGUGGGGUCUGGCCGGGUCCCACUGUCAAGA
This is a long non-coding RNA of Lynx canadensis (Canada lynx), 344 nucleotides long. RefSeq lists it as uncharacterized. The record is from RefSeq and is a predicted model, not a curated record. The transcript has 3 exons. NCBI's taxonomy places the organism in Eukaryota, Metazoa, Chordata, Mammalia, Carnivora, Felidae.